ACAGCAAACACCUAGGAGAUGCAGUGCUUAUCUCGAGGUUGGAGAGUGGGUUUACUCGACCUCAGAUAAAGAGAAUCGAACAGCAAGUCAAGACUACAGUUACCAAAAAACAAGCUGCAGAAUCUGCUAAGACAGUUAAAGAAAAAACAACAUCGAAGGCAGUUGAGUCUGAAGAGCCUUCUAAGGCACGUAAAAGACCAACCAACG
Trifolium pratense (red clover) is the source of this 207-nucleotide long non-coding RNA. RefSeq lists it as uncharacterized. NCBI's taxonomy places the organism in Eukaryota, Viridiplantae, Streptophyta, Magnoliopsida, Fabales, Fabaceae. The record is from RefSeq and is a predicted model, not a curated record. The transcript is spliced from 3 exons.